AAGAUCAGCAGCCUCGUGAGAAGCUCUGUGGGUGAGGACUCAGCCAUGAAGAAAAAGAACUCUGAGAAAAUUAGUGUUUCCUUAAACUGAUAUAUCAUUAUGGAUUCAUUCGGCUAUUUAGCACCUACCACGUGGCAAGCUUGUCGCUACACUUCAGAGAUCCUAAGAUAAUUUGUGCAUCACUUUGCCUGCUUUAAAGAUGCUCAUAAACUAACAAAGAGGCAUUUGUUCCAGGUGCUGUCAACUCAAGGUGUUCCAGCUACACAUAUAUUAGGAUACUUGGAGUUGUUCCACAGAUCAUUGGUAUUCUUUUCAGUUUUUUUUUUUUUAUUGUUUUAUCUCUUAGUGUUUUAUUUUGAACAGUUUCCAUUGCUCUCUCAUCAGGUUUACUAUUCUUUUCUUCUGCCAUGUCAAACCUGAAGUUUAUCCCCUGUAGUUACUUUUUCAUUUCAGACAUUCUGGUUUUCAUCUUUAAAAAUUUUAUCUGUGUCUUUUUUGUAUUUCUGCUUUUCAGCUUUUUGAAUGUAUAGAAUGUAGUUAUAGUAGCUGUUUGAAAGACCUAGUCUGGUAAUUCUAACAUCUGUGUCAGUUAUGAGUUGGUUUUGAUUGAGUGUUCUUGUCAUUGUGAGUCAUAUUUUUCUUCCUUUUUCCAUACUUGAAGAUUUUUUAUUAGAUGUUGGGAAUUGUGAAUUUUAACUUUCUAGGUGUUGGAUAAUUUUGUAUCUCUGUAGAUAUUCUUAUAUUUUAUUUUUGGAUAUAGUUAAGUUAUUUGGAUCUUUCUUUAAAAUUUGUUGUAUAGUUCUAGAACCAUGUUUAGUUUAUUUUUUAUUUUCCAUUAUAGUUUUUCACAGUGUUCUGUCAAUUUCGAGUGUACAGCAAAGUGACCCGGUAAUUCUCUACUGCUAAGGCAAAACUAUUCUUAGAACUCUCCCACGUCCAUGUGACUUACAGAGUUUUCCACUACAGCUGUUGGGAACAGGCACUUCCUGACUCUGUGUGAGCAACGGAUACCAGUCCACUAACCCUGUUGGUGACUCUUCUCCCAAUCCCAGUUACUUUCAUCACAUAUAUACUUGAUCAAUAUGCUGCUAAACUCAGGAAUUGACCCUGUACGGUUCUCUAGAGUUCUCUUUCUUUGUGACUCUUUCUUCUUUGAACUCCACCUAAAGAACUCCAGCAACCCUGGUAUCCCAAGACACUCAGCUCUAUCUCUUCAACUCAGGGAUUCUGCUGGACUACACAUAGUUUCCCCUCUCUGCUCCAUGACCAGGAGUCUUCCCCAGUGUUGUAAGCUUGGGCAGCCAGAGGCUUCACCUCACUCAUUUCUCACAUCCCAGGGAUUGCAUUCUUCAUUGUUAAUAUCCAAUGUCUUGGAAGUCAGUGCUUCAUAUAGCUUGUGUACUUUGUGCGUGUGUUGUAAGAAGAAAAAUCUAGUCUACAAAAUUCCAGUUUGGCCAGAAGUGGAAGCCUUAGCUUGGUAUUUAAUCCAGUUUGCUUCCAUUUUCCAGUAUCUGUGAGAAAGAGCAAGAGUUAUAAAUACAGACAGGGAACAUAAGAGGGUAGAGGCUAUACAGAAUUAAUAAAGUUGUAAGCCGUCAGUAUAUUUAUGAGGUUAACACAGAUGUGACCUCUUUUCAAAAGUCAACAUUAAAGGCAUUCCUUUUUCAUAUGAAAAAAUUAAAUGUGUAUUGCACAGUACAUGAAGGAGGAACUGAAACUCAGUUUGAGAAAUGACUGAAUUAGUCUCCAUUGCUUCUCAAAUAUCGUAAUUUUUAUCUGCAAGGAGUUUGGAGGCUUGUUGUUUGGAGAAUCUGCCUGUAAAGCUGUUACAUCUCAUUGACAAGCUGAGAAAUUUCUUCUUGGUUUGGUUUAAUUGUAUCUUCUCUUAUUUUGUACAUUGUCAUCAUUUUAAAAGACACUGAUCUGCUCCUGGAUGUAUUUAUCAGAAGGAUUCACUCUGGUAAUUUCCUAAAAGAGAAACAUAUCUAUCUGAUAGACUUUUCAAGUACAGUUACUCAAUUUGGAAUUCAGUGGAGUAGAUCCAAUAGCUCCCAUCAAUAGUAGGAAUCAUCUUUCAGAGCAGUGGCACUCUGUAUUUGACAUGCAACAGUUCUGUGUGCUGAAUUAAUUCCAGGGACUUGAAUACAUACUUCGUGAACAUGUAGAAACAUUUUUGGUUCUAAAAAUAAUCAUGGUAUCUUUCAUUUGCAUGUGGUGUUAUAAAUUUGAAAACGUAAGUCCACAUUCCUAAAGGCCAGGGAAACAAAAAAAAAAUAUAUAUAGAAAAAUUAAAUGCUGAACUGUAUGGAAAUUAUUAUAUGAACAGUAAGAAAUUAGGAGGAAAAUCUGUAUCAUCUAGAGUGGUUCAGGGAAACUAUGUGGGAGACCAAAAUUGCUUAGUAGAUAAAGGUGAGGAGAGACGUUCUUACAAAUGAUGAAAAACAGCAUGAGCAAAGGCAAGGGGUUGGAAAUAAGAGCAGAAUACAUGAAAGGAAGUGAGCUGUUAAAGAAUGCUUUUGGGAAGGGCUGGGAAAUAAAGUACUCUCAGAUGAUGAAUGGCCUGCAAAGCCAAACAGAAAAAUUUGUAACUAAAGCCAAAAAUAACAGGAAGCCACUGUAGAUUUUUGAGCAAAUGACAACUAUAAGUACAGCUUUAUGGAUAUGCUGGCAGUGACAUGCAAGGUGGAUGACAGAGAGGAUAAAGUGAGAAGGACCAGCUUGACUCUACUGGUGUCCUUCAAGUUAGGAGGACUAUGUCAAGGAUAUGAGAAAAAAAAUAUAAGAGACAAAAAGGAUCAGUUAAUAUUCUGAAGGAUGAAAUAAGGAGGCUUGAACUGUCCCACCUUUCACUGUUCUCUGUCUCCCCAGUGGGAGAUUUCAGAAGCAGGGAUGAGGAGUGAAAGACAGAGGUGUGUAUCUGCCCCAUUCUCUCAUGUCACCUUAUGUAGAUGCUCACUCAGCUUCUCAGUCUCCUUGGAUGCUGUCUCUAUGGUGAACUGACCUUCCCCAAGAAGGGAUAGAGCAUAGCGUGGUGCUUACAUGCAUGAAGAUUAGACCAUUGCUACUUUUUUCCCUUCUGAAAAUUGAAUGAACAUUUUAAAAGUCAAAAUUGAGAAACUAGAAACAAUCAUGACAAAAUGAAGGAGAAAGAAUUUCCAGAAAGUAAAAGAAAGCAAUGGGGAGUCAGAAGGGAAAUAAAAUGGAAAAGAGAAAAGAGAGAGGGGCAAAGCUGACUGCCAGCUCCUGAGGGUUUGAAUCUUCUGGGCUAAGAUUUAGUUCCCAUGUCUGAUCUUCCUGAAAAAAGAAAAAAAAAAAGGUAGAAUUCUAGAAUUUAGCAACUUUCCCCCUCCUUUUGAUCCUUAGAAAACUGAUUCUGCAGAAGCGAAGUCGCUUUCUCAAAACUAAAUGGCUCAUAAUUGAAGACAGGGCAAGAACAUACAUGUGCAACUCCUGCUUCAGGUCUCUAUUCCAUCACACACUUCCUUUCCUAGAAAGGACUCAGAGAGUUAUUGCACAUUGUGUUAGGGCUAACUACUUUAGACAACUACUAAGAAGUUGGUAACUCAAUUAGGCUGUCUUCGUCCAUCUUUCUUCCAAAUGUAAAGGAUGCAGUAAUAUAAAUUACAAAAGAAAAGGUGCCAUAAUGAGGGAGACAAAUUUAAAGACAUAGAAGAAUGAAAAAUGAAAACUGAAAGAAAAGUGUUCCCAAAACAAUCUUGAAGAAGAACAAAGUUGGAGCUCUCACACUUCCUGGUUUCAAAACUUAUUACAAAGCUAUACUGUAAUACUGGCAUAAAGACAGACA
Molecule: long non-coding RNA, 3805 nt
Filed under: Sus scrofa (pig)
Lineage: Eukaryota; Metazoa; Chordata; Mammalia; Artiodactyla; Suidae
Description: lncRNA (ENSSSCG00060058887.1)
Source: RNAcentral